RNAcentral lists this long non-coding RNA (202 nucleotides) under Manihot esculenta (cassava). RNAcentral's name for it is "long non-coding RNA (MESC_LNC011869)". The record is from RNAcentral. Lineage: Eukaryota; Viridiplantae; Streptophyta; Magnoliopsida; Malpighiales; Euphorbiaceae.
CUCACUCAACUAUCCAUGCAAAGCAUGCAAAAGAAAGCUGGACAGGACACUUUCGGCGGCAGGUUCGGCGGCCGAAUGUCCUCUCCAGAGACGAAACUCAAGCACCUUCGGCGGCACCUUCGGCGGCCGAAUCCCCCAAACAGAGCCGAACAUGCAAAAACACUCAGGGGCAAGCUGUGGCAACUAAGCCACCAUGCAGGAG